Lotus japonicus is the source of this 515-nucleotide long non-coding RNA. RefSeq lists it as uncharacterized. Lineage: Eukaryota; Viridiplantae; Streptophyta; Magnoliopsida; Fabales; Fabaceae. The transcript is spliced from 4 exons. The record is from RefSeq and is a predicted model, not a curated record.
GUUGGUGAUAGGUGAAUCAUGUUGUCAUUGUUCAGUUUGCAAAAGUCAAAGCAUGGAGAGGAAAUGUUAGUCUGCAAAAUGUCUUAGGUGCUACAAAGGUGAUCUUUAAUCCUGACAUAGCUAUUGCUGAUCUAUUGAAGGAGAGGUAUGCUGAGGCUAAUCAAAAUGGAGUUCAAGGUUUUGAGCCAAAUCCAGGAUCCUACUAAAAUUUCUGAUGAAGAUGAUUUAUUCAUAUUUACUCCUUGGAAGACUCUCUCCCAGCUCCCAGAUUUGAGGGAGAAUGAGAGGUAGAUUUUAUGGAUUGAGUGAGAGAGGUCCAAAGAUUAAUUCUUGGAUAGUGCAAUUUAUGAGUCGCUGUGAGGCUACCUAAUUUAAUGUAUUUUUUUUUGCAUUUAAAUCAAAACUGAAUAAACACCUUUCAAUUGAGGGUGAUCUUUAUAAAAUAAAAUAUAUGUACACAAAUUGACGGUACCAUUCUCUCAAGUGGGUAUAUUUAAGAUACUUAUAUUAUUCAA